Molecule: ribosomal RNA, 484 nt
Filed under: uncultured bacterium
Lineage: Bacteria
Description: partial 16S ribosomal RNA
Rfam family: Bacterial small subunit ribosomal RNA
Source: RNAcentral
AUUGAACGCUGGCGGCAGGCCUAACACAUGCAAGUCGAGCGGAUGAAGGGAGCUUGCUCCUGGAUUCAGCGGCGGACUGGUGAGUAAUGCCUAGGAAUCUGCCUGGUAGUGGGUGAUAACGUCCGGAAACGGGCGCUAAUACCGCAUACGUCCUGAGGGAGAAAGUGGGGGAGCUUCGGACCUCACGCUAUCAGAUGAGCCUAGGUCGGAUUAGCUAGUUGGCGGGGUAAAGGCCUACCAAGGCGACGAUCCGUAACUGGUCUGAGAGGAUGAUCAGUCACACUGGAACUGAGACACGGUCCAGACUCCUACGGGAGGCAGCAGUGGGGAAUAUUGGACAAUGGGCGAAAGCCUGAUCCAGCCAUGCCGCGUGUGUGAAGAAGGUCUUCGGAUUGUAAAGCCCUUUAGGUUGGGAGGAAGGGCAGUAAGUUAAUACCUUGCUGUUUUGACGUUACCAACAGAAUAAGCACCGGCUAACUUCGUG